Molecule: long non-coding RNA, 5023 nt
Organism: Felis catus (domestic cat)
Lineage: Eukaryota; Metazoa; Chordata; Mammalia; Carnivora; Felidae
Exons: 4
Source: RefSeq, a predicted model, not a curated record
ACGAUAAUGCUCAUUAAAUGCUAACAGCAUAAUAGGUACUGCGAUCCGCCUUUCAUGUUCAAGACUUUAAUCUUCAUAACACUCUACGAGCCACUAUUAUCAUGAUUGUUAUUAUGAUUUCUGUUUUCUGUUUUAGAUGAGGAAACUGGGUCUGGGAGAGCUUCGGGAGUUUUUCCCAAGGUCAUGGGGCCAGAAAGCAAUAGUAGAGGACCCAAACGCAGAGUCCACUGCAUGACACGGAGGAUGAGAACAAGAAUGGAAGGAGAAGUCACAGUUGGGGAUGAGGACUGUGCUUUGGGGUGGGGGCAGGGAAGGCAACUUGAAGCACUUUGCAGGAUGUUGGCCUCGCAAGAUGAGAGGAACUGAGCUGGCAACAAGCCGAGCGAGGCUAUUUCCAGGCAAGAAGACAGAAGAAAACACUGCACGUCUGGGAGAAGGCUUCAUUUACCCGCUGAAGAAAGCGGCGUGUUUGUCCGCUUCGCCGCUCAGAGGUGGAUGGGAGCAAUAUGGCAGAGGGUCUUGAAUGCUAGGGGGAUGUGGUAAGGUCUUCCUGGAUCUAAUCAGCAAUCUGUAAAAGCUAACAAGGCACCGAUGAGGCCAAGGUUAUAUGUGAAUCUCCAGCAUUCACAAGGGAACCCAAGUGCAAGGUGUUUACGGUUUAGUACAAAGUAAUCGAUUCCCAGGGCCAAAAAAAGCAAUGGGAAGCAAUGGGAAGUGAUUUGGAGAAUUGGUAUGUGAAGGGAACCAAAGAGUGAACACCAAAGGCCGUAAAGUGGUUGAGACCAACGAUCUUUAUGGAAUCAAUGGAAUUAAAUCUAGUUCCGUAUGGCUGCUAGUUCUUUCAAUUAUUGAGUGCCUACCGUGUGGCCAGCACCAUUCCCAGGACUUGGGAUAGAUCAGUGAACAAAAUACAGUGACCAAACUCCCUGCCAUCAAGGAGCUCACCACCUUGUGUGCUUAGUGCUGAUUCCCGAUCAGGAAGAUUCUUAACUCUCAAAACCUAAGAUUCCACUUUCAUACUGUACUCUUCAGAUCCCAUCACCCCAAAGAGAAAUGCAAAUCUCUCUAGCGUGAAGCUGGGCAGCGAUGCAGAAAGACAGACACAGCACUUCUGACUCAAGAGCGAGGGCGAUCUUACCGCCGGGUGGUUACAAGGAAACUUAAGAUGGGCAGGGCGUCAAGACUUGCCUCUGAGCUGGAUCAUAAAACCAAAAGCAAAACCAAGGUGAAGGAUUGGCCGUGUGACCCUUGAAGACGAUUCAAGUUAGCCUGGGGUACCCUCUCUGCUUUCCACUCCCCAACUGGGAUUAACUUUGGAAUCUUCCAUAACUGUAGAGAAACUGGGGGCUCUCCAAUCCUAGCCUGGGUAAACACUACUUCAAGACAAAUCGGAAUGGCCUUGCACUGUAAAACCAGGAAAGGCAGAUGGGAAAUAAGUCCACUCGUUUAGGUAGGAGAUAUUCUACAAUAUAGCCUUGUUCUUAGAACACAGCAGAAUGAGAGGUCUGGGAUUUUCCUCAGAAUUGCUAAAAGCAAUCUACAGAUGAAGAGAAACUGUUAAACGAUAAGCUGAUGGUCAUUGUCUCUCCCCCCUCCAAAAAAAAGAAAGAAAGGAAAAAAAAGACACCUCAAGGUCAUUCCCCUGCUCCCCAGAAAACUCUCCCCGCAGAAUUAAAAUUCCUGAAACUCAAACCAUGCGAUCUGACCAGACGCCCCGAAGACGGUUCGUGGGAGACGAGGCUCAAGCGUUUGGCUCGAGGUGAGAUGUGGAAUCUUCUCUGGAUCUCAGGUACUGUUCUAGUUUACUAUGUUCUCCACUUCCCAGUGGAGGAAAACAAGUUCUGGGAACAAAAUGCCUGCAGUGUUUUCAUCGGUGCAGCCAGGAAUGCGGAGGUGGGGAGGCCUCCAAAGCCCCCGCCUUCUGUCCCCACCCCGUGGAUUUUCUGAGCCUCUCCUGCCCAUGCAGCAGGGAGGAGGGAGAGCGCUCUGCUCAAUAAAUACUUACACGAUGACAUCUGCAACCUUGCCAGGUGAAGGUCAAAAUAUUUUCUUGCACUAAGUGUCUGUAUUGUAUUACUUCCCUAAGUGCUACUAUCGAUUUUAUUGAUUGAAUCAUUCAGAAUAACUAAUGGAGUAAGAAGGGCUUGGGUUUUUUCAUGCCCCAAACCUACGUUUGUUAUAGAGAAUUCUAUAUUAUGUUAUGGAAGAAUUCUAAUAUUAGGAACACACAGACCUUCUUGAUCGCAUCUUCUGCAAGCAGCUACGUGUAUUUCCAAACUGAUGAGGAGUUUCCGCACGCAUUUACCGAUUUACUCAUUUAUCCAACAGAUUUAAUGAGCCACCAGCCCGAAGACUGAAAGGGGACUUGGAGCUGUGGCCCUCUGGGGCCUGCCUCCCUCCCCGCUGUGCCCUUCUUUGUUCUGCCCUGUCUCUCUCGGAGCUGACCCUUGAGGCUGUGUCUCCCGGGCUCCCAGCACCGCUGGCUUCUUGCUACCCUGGAGCACAGGGAGGCAGGAGAUUGGAGAGGGGGGAGAAGGGAAAAGCCAGCCUCAGGUGGCAUUUCUAAUAGGCUGCAUAUACCCCUUCUGCCCUGUGACCCAGAACUAGCAGUCCUGCGGCCUCCCUUCGACGGAGCAGCCUCGGAGACGGCGACUUCCUGCUGACGUGAAUCUCUGGGUGACCCCUGUUUGGCUCAGUUACCUAUAUAACCCCGCAUUUCAUGCUUGAAAAUAGCUUUUGUCUUCCUGGUUAGACCCUGAAUGAUACAGAGAUGAUCUAGUUUACUGGAACUGAGGCCCAGAGGAGAUGUGACUGCCUUAAGUCACACAGUUAAAAAAAUGGUCAGAAGUGUCUACCGUGUGUGAGGCACUGUGUUGGCCUCCUUGUAGAAGACGGACGUGGUAAAUUCCUAGGCCCUUGCUAGGAGCUUCUCAUCCAAUAAGAGAAAUGGCCUAUCUAUACCAACAGCUAUAAUGCAGGACGGUGGGUGCAAAAGCUGAAGCAGGCCCAGGAAAUACGCAGUAGGACUUUGGCAGGAAAGUUGGUAUAUGCCUGGGGUUGGGGAGGGGGCUGAUCAUUCCAGGCAGGAGGGACAGCCACAAGGUGAGCCGCUGGGAGAGUUGUGGGCUCAAAGGUAGAGCCACCGCUUUAUUUAUCAUUUAAACAGGACAGUUUAGAGAAUGAAAAGGGACACUAUUGAUUCACCGUGACCACAGGCAGAAACCAGGGCCAUCCCAGGGAAACUGAGGCCGACUCAGGUAAAUCAGGAGGUACGGUCACCCACCGGGAGUUGAGCAGGGGCCUGGAUCAUGGGACACUUUCCACCGCAGACUGAGGAGUCUGGACCUCAGGCCCCAAAUGGGACUCCCUGGGAAUCAGAUCAAAGCGGCCAUUUAGGGAGGAAGGGAAGCCAUUCGGUAAGGUGCUCCCCACAAGUGCACGGUGUACCAGAGUGAGAAUGGAGGGACCCCACUCUCCAUACGUGACAUGGCCUGUGGCCCCCGCUUGAGCAGGGACACCUCAUUCUCCCAUACGUCCUGUUGGACCUACAACAAUAUUAAGUCCCAGAGAAAUUGACGGCACAGGACCUGUUUCCUUCCCCAGGGGAAAUGCCAAUUUUGCAGAGGGAGAAGAAGACUUUCGGGUGUCAAACAGGGAGCGGUAUGCAGUUUGCAAACUCUAGCGUCACCGAAUCCCCAAAGGCACAAUCGAGGCAGGGAGUGCUUGUGGUGCUAGGAGGGGAGAGGUCAGGGUGGCCCCGGAUCGUCAGACCUCAUGCCAGGACCGUGGAACUUGAGCACAGGGGGAAGGAUUACAUUUUGGCUGGUGGGAAAGGGGGGAGGGCAUUCCUGGCAAAUGUACCAGAGCUGGACCGAGCAGGUCCUGCGUAAGGGACAGGAAAGAAAGGGCCCUGAAGGACAGGAGCAGUGGGCCGAGAGGCUCAGAGUUCCGCUCAACAGCAUGGCCCUACUUUUCUCCUUCACCCAAUUCUGGGCCGGUGAGAGAGGAGAUUGCAAGGCCAGUAUGACACAGGGGUUAAGGGACAGACUUCGCCGCAAGACGGCCUGGGUCCACACGCUGCCCAUUCACCGUGUGACGUUGACAAGCUCCCGAAGGACAAUACCUGUACCUACACCAGAGGCUGACAUGAGGACGACGGCAGGCAGGGAGAAUGCACGAAAUCAGACCCGAGAAAUUCUCUCUCAAAAGCAUCCUGGGAGACCUGCGGUCAGGGAAGAAGCCAUCACCAUGUGACUAUGUCUCUUUGUCUGCCACUCUGCCGGAGGCUUGGUGCUUGCUAGGUCCCGCUCUGUCAUUUGGGCCAUCUCACCAUGCCUCUGCAGCUCUCCCAUCGCCUGGGACCUGGGCAUGAGCAGGUGGAGCCCCUGGCAGCCGGGAGGAAAUUAUCUUACAAUUUUACUAUUAUUUCCUGGCUUCGCAAUCCUCUUAAACAGCGUGGCCUCUAGAGUUAACAGCUGGCCGACCACCAAGAAGCCACAGUAAUUCAAAUCGCGUCCUCCCCGUUCGCAUGGCUGCCCAUGGAAUGGUUCUGCAAGGAAGGAUACAGUUUUCUCGACCCUGGGAGGGUCCCUGGAUGGGUCUGAAAAUUAAACUGACAAGGACGGAUUCACAUCUGCCUUUCAUUUUUGAGGUAUACUCCAGCACACACGUUAGUAGAUUCGGUUAUUAGAGGACAGCUGUGGUACAGAGAAAGGCAUACACUGAAUUUUUGCGUGGAUGGAGGAGCCUUCCCAAGAGAAUGAAGACCCAAAGAAGUGACGAGAGCAGGAGCCUUUUAUACCUUUUAGACAAAGAACCAGUAAGUUUGUGAAGAAUCGAUAAGACAAAAGGGUUUGGGCUCGAGGUAGCAAGUGGUGAAGAAGUAACUAGGAAGACUCUUUCUCGACCAACAACGCAUGUGUUUUAGAUGUUUGGCAAGGAGCUUGGUUUUCCCUGGGUGAUCGUGUACAGGAAGAGGGUGAUGACCUCCAGGAACCAAAGUCUUUGGCUCAGACAACAAGCA